This 678-nucleotide long non-coding RNA is filed under the name Androctonus crassicauda. Lineage: Eukaryota; Metazoa; Arthropoda; Arachnida; Scorpiones; Buthidae. The record is from RNAcentral.
UUUGUUUCAAAAUAUUAAGCUCAUUCUAGAUAUAGGCAAAGUGCAUGCAUAGUCUGUAUGUUCUCCAUAUCAAGGAUGUAAGUAUGAAGCUUUAUAUUUAAAAUUAUCAUUGGAUAGAUUGUGUAUAAGAAAAACUAGUAUGUAGGUUUACAAUAAAUAUUGAUAGCAUAACAAUCACUUUCUUUUAUUAUCCACAGUUCAAGAAAAUGCACUUCAUUUUGAAUGAUCUACACAAUUUUAAUUUUUAGACCAUAAUUAUUGUUGUUAAUGAUAUCAGUAUAUUCAUAUAUGGUGUUGAGAACUUCAAUAAUAAUAAAUGUGUCAUCCACAUACUCUUGUGCAAUAUAAUGUUCUUGAUAGUUUAUAGUCAUUUAUCUUCUAUACCUGCAAUUCCACUAACAAACUCCAGGGAUGGGAGAGUCCAUAGGGUACUCCAUGUGAUUGUAAAUAAAAAAAACUGUUAUAUUUAUAGUAUGAAUUCUUGUGUACUUGAUGGGCUAUAUCUGAUAAGAUUUUCUAAGUAUGUCUAUUGUUUUUGUGAUGAUUUAAAUCAAACAGUAGUAAUCAGAGCUCUAGAAUAGCAGAAUCUUUUAAUCUAAUGCAUUCUUGAAUUUAAUCAAAAUCAUUAACAGUGUAUUGAUAAUCAUUUAUAACUUCCUUACAAAAUUCAAAAAUGUC